GACAUAGGUCGCAAACGUUAUCCGGAAUUAUUGGGCGUAAAGGAUGCGUAGAUGGUUCAGUAAGUUACUGGUGGGAAAUCGAGGCCCAACCUCGUGGAAGUUAGUAAUACUGUUGAACUUGAGUGCAGGAGAGGUUAACGGAACUUCAUGUGGAGCGGUAAAAUGCGUAGAUAUAUGAAAGAACAUCAAUAUGGCGAAGGCAGUUAACUAUUCUGCUACUGACAUUGAGGCAUGAAAGCGUGGGGAGCAAAACGG
RNAcentral lists this ribosomal RNA (255 nucleotides) under uncultured bacterium. RNAcentral's name for it is "partial 16S ribosomal RNA". It matches the Rfam family "Bacterial small subunit ribosomal RNA", at positions 524 to 776 of the family's 1533-position model. The record is from RNAcentral.